RNAcentral lists this ribosomal RNA (280 nucleotides) under uncultured cyanobacterium. RNAcentral describes it as "partial 16S ribosomal RNA". It matches the Rfam family "Bacterial small subunit ribosomal RNA", at positions 338 to 633 of the family's 1533-position model. The record is from RNAcentral. Lineage: Bacteria; Bacillati; Cyanobacteriota.
CCUACGGGGGGCUGCAGUGGGGAAUUUUCCGCAAUGGGCGAAAGCCUGACGGAGCAACGCCGCGUGAGGGAGGAAGGCUCUUGGGUUGUAAACCUCUUUUGUCAGGGAAGAAGAACUGACGGUACCUGACGAAUCAGCAUCGGCUAACUCCGUGCCAGCAGCCGCGGUAAUACGGAGGAUGCAAGCGUUAUCCGGAUUUAUUGGGCGUAAAGCGUCCGCAGGUGGUUGAGCAAGUCUGCCGUCAAAGCGUGGAGCUUAACUCCAUACCGGCGGUGGAAAC